GCCGGGCGUGGUGGCAGGCGCCUGUAAUCCCAGCUACUCAGGAGGCUGAGGAAGGAGAAUUGCUUGAACCCAGGAGGCAGAGGUUGCAGUGAGCUGAGAUCGAGCCACUGCACUCCAGCCUGGGUGACAGAGCAAGAUUCUAUCUCAA
Pongo abelii (Sumatran orangutan) is the source of this 148-nucleotide unclassified non-coding RNA. It matches the Rfam family "Metazoan signal recognition particle RNA". Rfam says of the family: The signal recognition particle (SRP) is a universally conserved ribonucleoprotein. It is involved in the co-translational targeting of proteins to membranes. The record is from Ensembl. Lineage: Eukaryota; Metazoa; Chordata; Mammalia; Primates; Hominidae.